This 74-nucleotide transfer RNA is filed under the name Acidimicrobiales bacterium. RNAcentral describes it as "tRNA-Ala". It matches the Rfam family "tRNA". Rfam says of the family: Transfer RNA (tRNA) molecules are approximately 80 nucleotides in length. Their secondary structure includes four short double-helical elements and three loops (D, anti-codon, and T loops). Further hydrogen bonds mediate the characteristic L-shaped molecular structure. tRNAs have two regions of fundamental functional importance: the anti-codon, which is responsible for specific mRNA codon recognition, and the 3' end, to which the tRNAs corresponding amino acid is attached (by aminoacyl-tRNA synthetases). tRNAs cope with the degeneracy of the genetic code in two manners: having more than one tRNA (with a specific anti-codon) for a particular amino acid; and 'wobble' base-pairing, i.e. permitting non-standard base-pairing at the 3rd anti-codon position. The record is from RNAcentral. Lineage: Bacteria; Bacillati; Actinomycetota; Acidimicrobiia; Acidimicrobiales. RNAcentral also lists the same sequence under 1 other name.
GGGGGUGUAGCUCAGUCCGGUAGAGCGCAGCGUUCGCAAUGCUGAAGUCGUGGGUUCAAGUCCCAUCACCUCCA